This 478-nucleotide ribosomal RNA is filed under the name Melanoplus sanguineus. RNAcentral's name for it is "partial 16S ribosomal RNA". It matches the Rfam family "Archaeal large subunit ribosomal RNA", at positions 1911 to 2637 of the family's 2987-position model. Lineage: Eukaryota; Metazoa; Arthropoda; Insecta; Orthoptera; Acrididae. The record is from RNAcentral.
GUCCUCUUGAUUAUAUUUUGAGGUCUGGCCUGCUCACUGACAAGUUUUAAAGAGCCGCGGUAUUUUGACCGUGCAAAGGUAGCAUAAUCAUUAGUCUCUUAAUUAGGGGCUGGAAUGAAUGGCUUGACGAGAAAUUAACUGUCUCUUAUUAAAUAAUAGAAUUUAACUUUUGAGUUAAAAGGCUUAAAUUUUUCUUAAAGACGAGAAGACCCUAUAGAGCUUGACAUUUUAUUUUAAUAUAAUUUUUAGAUAGUUUUUUUAUAUUUUAAGAUAAUGUUUUGUUGGGGUGACAUGAAGAAUAAAUAAACUCUUCAUUAUAAAAUCAUUGAUUUAUGUUUAUUUUGAUCCAUAAUUUAUGAUCAUAAGAUUAAGUUACCUUAGGGAUAACAGCGUAAUUGUUUUUGAGAGCUCAUAUUGACAAAGCAGAUUGCGACCUCGAUGUUGGAUUAAGAAUAAUUUUGGGUGCAGGAGCCCAGUA